This 615-nucleotide ribosomal RNA is filed under the name Vermamoeba vermiformis. Its description in RNAcentral is "SSU rRNA". It matches the Rfam family "Eukaryotic small subunit ribosomal RNA", at positions 585 to 1201 of the family's 1831-position model. The record is from RNAcentral. Lineage: Eukaryota; Tubulinea; Echinamoebida; Vermamoebidae.
CCAGCUCCAAUAGCGUAUAUUAAAGUUGUUGCAGUUAAAAAGCUCGUAGUUGGAUUUCGGAAGGUCCUUAGCAAUCCGCCCCUUCGGGGAGCGGGUUGCUGGCCUCCUAUGUUCCUAACGGUCCUCGUCCGCGAGGGCGGGGAAUCAACCGCUAGGAUCGUUUACUUUGAGGAAAUUAGAGUGUUCAAAGCAGGCGUAACUCGCCUCCGAAUACGUUAGCAUGGGAUAAUGGAAUACGACUUCGGUCUUGUUUCGUUGGUUUCGCUUGGCUGAAGUAAUGAUUGAUAGGGACAGUUGGGGGCAUUAGUAUUUAGUUGUCAGAGGUGAAAUUCUAGGAUUUACUAAAGACUGACCAAUGCGAAAGCAUUUGCCAAGGAUGUUUUCAUUAAUCAAGAACGAAAGUAGGGGGAUCGAAGACGAUCAGAUACCGUCGUAGUCUCUACCGUAAACUAUGCCGACCAGGGAUCCGGAGAGUUUGCAUGGAUGACUCCCCGGGCACCUUGUGAGAAAUCAUAAGUGUUUGGGUUUUGGGGGGAGUAUGGUCGCAAGGCUGAAACUUAAAGGAAUUGACGGAAGGGCACCACCAGGAGUGGAACCUGCGGCUUAAUUUGACUC